UUGACAUUGUCACUGAAGAAACAGCUGAUGUCGGCUUACAAUCUGGAGUCCAUCAAGGCUGUUGCAUGGGGUAUCACUCAUGAAGAUGAUGCUUUGAGAAAGUAUGAAAAGGACUUUGAUGCAGCUGUAGAGCAGUCAGGAUAUGGUUGCAUGAAUCCGGAGUGUUGGGAGCUUCACCUGAUGGCUUAGUUGUUCGACCACCAACAUGCAGUGUAUUUUAUCAAACUCCAGAAGCCAAAGACGCCAUUCCUGAUAUUGUAGAGGUGAAGUGUCCAUAUACAGCAUCGUCUUCAACAGUAGCAGAUGGGGCACAAAAUUUGAAGGAUUUUUCAUAGAUCUUAAACAAGAUACCCUGUGCCUGAAAACCAGUCACCCG
Saccostrea cuccullata (small rock oyster) is the source of this 376-nucleotide long non-coding RNA. RefSeq lists it as uncharacterized. The transcript is spliced from 3 exons. Lineage: Eukaryota; Metazoa; Mollusca; Bivalvia; Ostreida; Ostreidae. The record is from RefSeq and is a predicted model, not a curated record.